Molecule: long non-coding RNA, 625 nt
Organism: Athene cunicularia (burrowing owl)
Lineage: Eukaryota; Metazoa; Chordata; Aves; Strigiformes; Strigidae
Exons: 4
Source: RefSeq, a predicted model, not a curated record
GUGACUUGUCCAAAGGGAUGUGCAAAUGCAGUGGCAACAUCAAGCCUGUGAUCCAACCCUAAUCCAAAGCAGGAGCCCCCCGGCAGUUAACUCAAGGACUGACCGCUUACCCCGCCGGUUUUCUCCCAGAUCAUGUGCGACCGGGUUUCAGCUCAGAGGAACCUCUUCUGUGGGGCAUUGCUGGCCGGAGCCGACAGCCUGGGGGAACCUUGCUUCGCAGCAGACUACCUUCCAAAACUGACAGCAAUGGAUCACACUGUGACUGCAGCAGGAGCUUCAGGCCUGUUGGCAGCAGCUGGUUGAGGGGCAAGAGCUAAAUGGCCAUCUCGGUUAAAACCAAGCUACUGUGUGAAAACAGCAAUGGAAGCAAUACUUAUUCAUCAGACCACAAUAGAUAUAUCCCUAUGUGAUGUACUUGGUUGUGGCUUUAAAAUGGUAGAACAGCAGUCUGGGAGAUUGCACCCAUGGUGAAAUGGGGAGCAUGGAUUAGUGUCUGUAGAGAUGCCCAGUUGUCCCUAAACAGAUUUUGCAUUUGGACUUUGAUAUGAGACACGUCGGAGGUUUUGCCCCUUAACACAGGACAGGGAUUGUGUUCUUUGGGACCACUAAUCUCCCUUCUGAAGGA